AUUGAACGCUGGCGGCAGGCCUAACACAUGCAAGUCGAGCGGAGCGGCGGACGGGAGAGUAAUGCCUAGGAAUCUGCCCGGUAGUGGGGGAUAACGUCCGGAAACGGGCGCUAAUACCGCAUACUAUCAGAUGAGCCUAGGUCGGAUUAGCUAGUUGGGGGGGUAAAGGCCUACCAAGGCGACGAUCCGUUAAUGGUCUGAGAGGAUGAGCAGUCACACUGGAACUGAGACACGGUCCAGACUCCUACGGGAGGCAGCAGUGGGGAAUAUUGGACAAUGGGCGAAAGCCUGAUCCAGCCAUGCCGCGUGUGUGAAGAAGGUCUUCGGGUUGUAAAGCACUUUAAGUUGGGAGGCGUUACCAGCAGAAUAAGCACCGGCUAACUUCGUGCCAGCAGCCGCGGUAAUAC
This 407-nucleotide ribosomal RNA is filed under the name uncultured bacterium. RNAcentral's name for it is "partial 16S ribosomal RNA". It matches the Rfam family "Bacterial small subunit ribosomal RNA", at positions 30 to 526 of the family's 1533-position model. The record is from RNAcentral.